RNAcentral lists this long non-coding RNA (777 nucleotides) under Felis catus (domestic cat). Its description in RNAcentral is "lncRNA (ENSFCAG00000043598.2)". The record is from RNAcentral. Lineage: Eukaryota; Metazoa; Chordata; Mammalia; Carnivora; Felidae.
AUGCAAGGUCCUCCUGUUCACAGUGGCCCCGCACCCAGCAGGCGAGCAGUUCCAUGCAAGUCACAUGCCCACGUGCCGGCCUAUCCCUACCCCUGGACCCACCAGGAACUCUCUGGAAGAAGCCUCCCAGAGGACAGAGCCCUCCAAACUCCCGCUGAGGCUUCCUUCCUGGUCUCCCCUUCCCUCCCUCCCUCCUGCCCUUCCUCCCUUCCUUCCUUCCUCCCUCCCUCUGCCUCUAUGCCUUCCCCUCUGAGUAAACACAGCCCUGUGGCGAGGCCCGCCAUGUUCUCGGAGAGCUGCACAUUGCCACCUGUUGCUAUGGAGAAGCCUCUUUAUCACAAACACUGGGUUUACAAAGAGGCCGAAAGCUCAACCAAUCAGGAAGCUCUGAAGUUGGGAAGUCCCUACCCUGUGGGGCGGGGCCUCUGAUCACACUUCCUGUUCUCUGAGAGCAGGGCAUCCCCGCCAGAGGGUGGCUGUGCCCAACCGGAACCUGUCCCUCCGUCCUCUGCUCAUGAUUCUUUGCUGUGUGCACGCCCAGUUCAGCAGACAAGGAGCUCCUUGACAAAAGGAUGUUACGGACAACACCUGUAUACCCCAGCACGUGCUUGGUAGGUGUCUGUUGACCACAGGGACGCAAGGGCCAUGGAAGAGUGAAUGACAGAAGAAGCCGACUCUGAACCCCCCGGGAGGGGGUUGCAGGUGGAGGCAGCUAUGACAGGAUGGACAGGGAAGGAGGGGCAGGAGGCUUCAGGGCGGCACUGCUGGGAACCAGAA